CCUACGGGAGGCAGCAGUGGGGAAUAUUGGACAAUGGGCGAAAGCCUGAUCCAGCCAUGCCGCGUGUGUGAAGAAGGCCUUCGGGUUGUAAAGCACUUUCAGUGGGGAAGAAAGCCUUGGGGCUAAUACCCUCGAGGAAGGACAUCACCCACAGAAGAAGCACCGGCUAACUCCGUGCCAGCAGCCGCGGUAAUACGGAGGGUGCGAGCGUUAAUCGGAAUUACUGGGCGUAAAGCGCGCGUAGGCGGUCUGAUAAGCCGGUUGUGAAAGCCCCGGGCUCAACCUGAGAACGGCAUCCGGAACUGUCAGGCUAGAGUGCAGGAGAGGAAGGUAGAAUUCCCGGUGUAGCGGUGAAAUGCGUAGAGAUCGGGAGGAAUACCAGUGGCGAAGGCGGCCUUCUGGACUGACACUGACGCUGAGGUGCGAAAGCGUGGGUAGCAAACAGGAUUAGAUACCCUUGUAGUC
This 465-nucleotide ribosomal RNA is filed under the name Vreelandella stevensii. RNAcentral's name for it is "partial 16S ribosomal RNA". It matches the Rfam family "Bacterial small subunit ribosomal RNA", at positions 338 to 795 of the family's 1533-position model. The record is from RNAcentral. Lineage: Bacteria; Pseudomonadati; Pseudomonadota; Gammaproteobacteria; Oceanospirillales; Halomonadaceae.